UACAAUGCAAGUCGAGGGGUACAGGUGUUGCUUGCAACCCGCUGACGACCGGCGCACGGGUGCGUAACGCGUAUGCAACCUACCUUCUACAGGGGGAUAGUCAAUACAAAUGUUGAAUAAUACCCCAUACGAUCAUAUAAUCUAGCAUGGUAUUGACUGAGGAAAGUUCCGGCGGUAGAAGAUGGGCAUGCGUCCUAUUAGUUAGUUGGUAAGGUAACGGCUUACCAAGACGUACGAUAGGUAGGGGUCCUGAGAGGGAGAUCCCCCACACUGGUACUGAGACACGGACCACACUCCUACGGGAGGCAGCAGUGAGAGAAUAUUGGACAAUGGAGGCAACUCUGAUCCAGCCAUGCCGCGUGCAGGAAGACGGACCUAAUGGGUUGUAAACUGCUAUUAUACAGGAAGAAUACGUACCUACGUGUAGGUAUUCGACGGUACUGUACGACUCAGGAUCGGCUAACUCCGUGACCAACAGCCGCGAGUACUACCGAGGAUCCAAGCGCUUAUCCCGGAAACACUAGGGUAACAAGGGCUCCGUAAGCGGACUGAUAAGUCAGAGGUGACACGCUGCACAUCACUGCAGCCUGC
RNAcentral lists this ribosomal RNA (591 nucleotides) under uncultured Bacteroidota bacterium. Its description in RNAcentral is "bacterial SSU rRNA". It matches the Rfam family "Bacterial small subunit ribosomal RNA", at positions 52 to 624 of the family's 1533-position model. The record is from RNAcentral. Lineage: Bacteria; Pseudomonadati; Bacteroidota.